This is a long non-coding RNA of Paramormyrops kingsleyae, 742 nucleotides long. RefSeq lists it as uncharacterized. NCBI's taxonomy places the organism in Eukaryota, Metazoa, Chordata, Actinopteri, Osteoglossiformes, Mormyridae. The record is from RefSeq and is a predicted model, not a curated record.
AGUAAUAUUUAUAUAUAUUCGAAAUACAUACGAGUGCCUCGGUGAUGGGUGACAAUGGACCUUCCCGUAGGCAGGAAUCUUGAUGAUUAUGAUCACUUACGUUAUAUAUAUACACGAUAUUGCAUUUCCAAGCGAAUUUUGCGUCACUUUUAUACGUGCGUAGUAUAACUGUGAGUCACCGAAAGACGGAUUCAUGAUUUUUCCCGGAACUCCGUCUUUGCACCGAUAUGGAAACACCGCCCCCCACCGGGAGUUACGACGACAUGCUUCCAACUCAUAAAAACCGUCCCAUGAAAAUACUAGGCACUAACUUCAACUGAAAUACAGGAAGUGGCCCUAUCGUGGAUACUAAACCUCGUUUUACAAUUUUUCCAAACUCAUUGCGUCGGUGAGGGCAGUGUGCGGCUAAACAUUUGUGCCUGUGAUCGGAAGGUUCCAGCACGGCUUCAGCAAGUCUGUGGGUCCUUGAGAAAGGCCCUUAAGGUGCAGCUCCCCGAGCGCCGCAACAGGUAGCUGCCCUUUGUGCUCAGCUCACUGUCACAUACAGAGAGCAAGAUGGGGGAGGUGAAAAAAGAACUUCUCCGAGGGGAUCAAUUAUCAUCAUCAUCAUCCCCAGAGGAGUCUUACUUUUAAGAGCUGAAUCGCUGAAAUUAAAACAUUCGGGAAUAAUGUGUUUAAUACACAUAUUUAGUAAUGUUGUAAUCAAUUAUCAAUUAAAGUAACAAAGUAGUUUAACAUUUUC